GUGAUUUCACUGUCCAUAUGACUCAGAUCUCAGAUGAGACUGUGGUGGACUUUUGAUUUCCAUUUAAAUAGAUAUUUGCAGAAAGAAAACUAAAGAGAGAAAACAUAAGAAGCAUCAAGUCUAUAGCUACAAUUGACAUCUGAAGGCACAAGACUCUAACCUGGCACCGUGUCCUAGAACGUGGCAUUGGGUCCAUCAUGUCCCCUCACCCUGAGUCAGGGCUGUGGCUGGCCUGGAGUUCCAUUUCUAUUCCAGAAAGUGGCAGUAUUUUAGGAACGUGCAAAAUUAUAUCAUAGGUCCCAGAGUUGAGGUAUAAAUUCAAAGAACUGGGGAUUACUCUGAAUAUGUAGAAUAUGCCUCAAAACUGUGCAAUAUUAAAAGCGCAUUUUCUUCUUUGAAAAAUGCA
This 406-nucleotide long non-coding RNA is filed under the name Bos taurus (domestic cattle). Its description in RNAcentral is "long non-coding RNA NONBTAT027091". Lineage: Eukaryota; Metazoa; Chordata; Mammalia; Artiodactyla; Bovidae. The record is from RNAcentral.